Molecule: non-coding RNA, 2393 nt
Organism: Nothobranchius furzeri (turquoise killifish)
Lineage: Eukaryota; Metazoa; Chordata; Actinopteri; Cyprinodontiformes; Nothobranchiidae
Source: RefSeq, a predicted model, not a curated record
AGGAAUUGUCCAAAAACAAGAAGUAAAUAGUUCAUUCUUGUGAAGCUUAUGGGUGAUUGAGCAUUUUAAACUAAAAAGAAUGAUGAAACCAGUUUAUCAUUCCAUUUUGUUAAUCAGGCUGUGUGCUGCAAAAUGCAAAACAUUCCUGAUCCGAAUUUCCCGCGCUGUUUUACGGAUGUGACGUUAAAUGACGCUUCAAGCGCGUUCUCGACAAGGUUCAAACCCGGAAAAACAUUUGGAAGCUUGCUAGGUGGCGGUAAUGCGUCUUUCACUACUAGCCACGUUAAAACCCCAAACAGAAGAGGAAGAACCCUGGAAAUGGAUUCUACAACUAGCAAACGACCAAGUGCAACUCAAAGCCCACUAAAGUGGCACAAAGAAGAAGGUUUUAUCAGCGGCAUCUCGAGAGUCAAAACGAAAAUAUAAAAGUCGGUCAGGGACCCGAAUAUGUAUUGGGUACGCUCUGGAAGAAUGAGGCUGGUUCAACUCAAUUUGGGCCUGAAAAGGAUGCGGACAUGGCACAUUUUCUAGUGACCAGGUAAGUGUUGUAUUACCUGGUCUCCUUAUGUCUGCUGUAGGUUUCAGUAACGAGUAGGUAAACAUAUCAGAGCUGUAUCUCCACAAUUUAAGAAAAGAAAAAAAAACAUGGAUUUAGAUAAUACUGAUUUAGAUAAUCUAACAAAUCUUUGUGCAGAUGAACAAGAAACUUAUCUAAGCUAACGAUGUUUAGCAUAUGGCUUCCUGAUCAGUUUGAAAAAGCUAAAAGCAACUAAGGAGUAAUCAGAUCACUUCUACGUUUUGUGGACGACACACCGCUUGUGUUUGGAGAUAAAUGGAUGCUCCGUUUAUUCUGACGAGACAAGUAAACAGAGCUUGAUUUUAUUAUAUGACGUCACCGAUCAGCCGGAGAGAGCUAGCGUGCCUUAGCAUGUUAGCUAUGAUCACGCUAACGGUUUGUAUGUAACACAGAAGAGAAUGGACAUUGUCCAAACAAAAGAUGAGUCUUUAGAAUUAUGUCAUAUUUGAUCUACAGUCCAACCUCUAAGCAGGACUGUUACUUCAGUAGAUAAUGUUAUUCGUGGGGUUUGUGUAACAGAACCCCAUUGGAAUAUCUUUUCCUAACGUUAGUGCUGUGCAGUAAAUAACUAGUCAGCCAUUACUACAUGUUUUACUAAAAGUAAAGUUGUGCAGAAGUUUGUGUUUACUUUUCUAAAUUUGUCCUGUUGAAUGUAGGUCAGAAUAAUAUAUGUUUGUGAAAAUGAUAAUUUUUUUUAGGACUGACAUGCAUUUUCAUAUUACUAGUUGUGCUUAGCCAUUAUUGAUCUAUGUAACAGAAGGUGUAGAGUCUCAACCAACUUGUUGACAUUUUUGUUUAAAAAUGUGUUUUCCAGCUACCGGAAGAAGCAGGCUCCUGAAACUGCAAUUCAGGGAGGUAAUGUGCAGUCAACCUCGACACCCAGUAAGAGAACAGCAGCUAAAAUGUCGCAUUCAUUAUCUCCAAUUGAACCUGUGUCUGAGGGGUUAGUAUCUUUUCUGUAAAACAAAUAUUCACGUUUUUGUGCUAUGAUAUUUCAUACAUUAAAUUACACCUUGCAUAUCCACACUUGGUUCAGAACUAACAUCACACCACCAAACACUUCUGACAUUAUCUUUACAGGGAAGAUUUUCUAAUGGCUGGUGUUGAGGCGCUGAUGACCUAGAUUUGGAUCCUUUUGAAGAAAGUUUCAAAUCCAUGGAUCUAGCUACGGAUGCAGUCCAAAUUGAUGAGGACCAAGCAAACAACUUACUCAACAGUGUGCUGGGAUCCUAAAGGGAAAUUCCAUCCUACUUGUGUGGCUGAAGGACAUCGUCAACCAAUUUUGGUACAUUUGCCAGAAAGCACAACAUCGUGAUAUGUUUAAUUGCCAGCUCUCGUGUUUCUGUUGGUGAGCGCUUCUGUCACAUGUAAAGUUUUCAAAUAAAACUUAUUUUUUCUGUUAGGACAUGUGGGUGGGUGUGCUUCACCAUGUCACAGGGAAGCAUGAAUGGACCCAUGGCAAAUGUGACCAUGGACCACUUGAUGCAACGACCAGUGAUAAAGAGCUCAUGGUACCAUGAUCUCCACCACACGAGGCUCUUCAACGAAUCAUGUUCAACAGACGCUGGUUGAAGGAUGUCACCAAUCUGACCUUUAGGUAUAUUAAUAACAUUUUCAUAAGCAAAAAAGCUAAAGUGUCAAUAUCAAAGCUGACAAUUUACAUAUAGAAAUGACAAUUGUGGGUGAAAAGGCAAUCAAAAGUGUGAUUCCUAAUAAUCUAUAAAGUUGUAGCUUUUGUUUUUUUACAGGUCAACUUCAGAACUGGAGAGUUUCCAGAAUUGCAUUCUCAUGUAAUCUAUGUAUGAUCUAAUGCUGC